Molecule: ribosomal RNA, 460 nt
Filed under: uncultured bacterium
Lineage: Bacteria
Description: partial 16S ribosomal RNA
Rfam family: Bacterial small subunit ribosomal RNA
Source: RNAcentral
CCUACGGGAGGCAGCAGUGAGGAAUAUUGGUCAAUGGACGAGAGUCUGAACCAUCCAAGUCGCGUGAAGGAUGACUGCCCUAUGGGUUGUAAACUUCUUUUAUAUGGACAUAAAACAGGGUAUGCAUACCCUCUUUUAUGUCACAUAUGAAUAAGGAUCGGCUAACUCCGUACCCACAGCCGCGGGAAUAAGGAGGAUCCGAGCGUUGUCCGGAUUUAUUGGGUUUAAAGGGAGCUUCGGUGGAUUUUUAAGUCAGUUGUGAAAGUUUUCGGCUCAACCGUAAAAUUGCAGUUGAAACUGUCAGUCUUGAGUACAGGAGAGGCGGGCGGAAUUCGUGGUGUAGCGGUGAAAUGCUUAGAUAUUACGAAGAACUCCGAUUGCGAAGGCAGCCCACUGGACUGCAACUGACACUGAUGCUCGAAAGUGUGGGUAUCAAACAGGAUUAGAUACCCGUGUAGUC